CCAACUGUGUGAAUUAAUGCAAACUGCAUACUGCUUUGAACAUCGACAUCUUGAACGCAUAUUGCGGCCAUGGGUUAGCCUGUGGCCACGCCUGUCCGAGGGUCGGCUUAUAAACUAUCACGACGCCCAAAAAGUCGUGGCUUGGGUUUUGCCAGCUGGCGUGAUCUCCUCUAUGAGUAAUCAUGUGAGGUGCCAGAUCUAUGGCGUUUCCCUAAUGUAUCCGGAUGCACCCUUGUCUUGGCAGAAAGCCGUGGUGAGGUGCAGUGGCGGAAUCGUGGUUUAAUAAUCGGGUUGGUACUCAGUUGUCAGUGUGUUCGGCGAUCCCCUAGUCGGCACACAUGAUUUCUGGGAUAAUUCCAUACCAGGCACGUUCCGUUACUGUUACUUUGUCAUUGGUUUGAUGCUGAACUUGGUCAUGUGUCUGAUGCUAUUUCAUAUAACGACGGUACCCUUCGUGGUCUGUCUUCCUGACCUCGGUUCAGACGUGAUUACCCGCUGAACUUAAGCAUAUCACUAA
RNAcentral lists this ribosomal RNA (517 nucleotides) under Fasciola gigantica. RNAcentral's name for it is "eukaryotic LSU rRNA". The stretch from base 1 to 105 matches the Rfam family "5.8S ribosomal RNA", at positions 49 to 154 of the family's 154-position model. The record is from RNAcentral. Lineage: Eukaryota; Metazoa; Platyhelminthes; Trematoda; Plagiorchiida; Fasciolidae.